Molecule: long non-coding RNA, 707 nt
Filed under: Nicotiana tabacum (common tobacco)
Lineage: Eukaryota; Viridiplantae; Streptophyta; Magnoliopsida; Solanales; Solanaceae
Description: long non-coding RNA (NTAB_LNC008534)
Source: RNAcentral
AAUCUUGAAAACAAAUUUGCAUCUUAAUAGAGGGAAAAUUAAUUAUGAUGUCUAAAUUUUGGUGAACAAUAACAAAUGUACACUUUUUUUUUAAAAAAAAAAAACAAGGUAGGUGAAAAAUAAGCCAUAACAUUAUAGUAUUGCCGAAUUUUUGUAAGAGUAAACCAUAAGAGUACAAUUUGUUUUUUCGGAGAACUACAAUUAUCAUAUGUUAUAAAUUCUUACAAUAAAUAAAGAUGUUUCUCCUUGGGCCCUACUCGGUCCUUUUCUUUUUCUUUGAGGUAUUCUGAUAUUUUCUCCUUACAAACAGAGCAACUUGCAUUUUUGAUACUUUCUUUUAGUAUCGAAUAUUCCCAAAGAAGAGCCCCAUACGCAACCUCAAACAUCUCAGCCUCUCUCUUUGACCUGAGUAACCAAAAAAUAAAAACGCAUGUGAGCCAUAAAACAUUCAAGAUUAAUAAGAAAAAUGGAGAGAAGAACAAGAAAUGUCGAGGAAAAUAGAAACUCACUCUUCAAGCUGUUGUUUGAUUGACUUAGAAUGUUUUCCUUGAGAUGCCAUUGGUUAAAAAGUUGAAGUUGAUCCAAGAAUUUUUCUUUCUUGAACCGAUUCUUAGAUUUUCUUUAGCGGCGAAAAGUUUAAGAUAAGCAAAGUAGGUUUUGACGAAAAAUGAAUUGGAUAUAUAUAGUACAUUUUAGAGUUUGUUUGC